GAUGAACGCUAGCUACAGGCUUAACACAUGCAAGUCGAGGGGAAACGGCAUUGAGUGCUUGCACUCUUUGGACGUCGACCGGCGCACGGGUGAGUAACGCGUAUCCAACCUUCCCAUUACUGUGGGAUAACCUGCCGAAAGUCAGACUAAUACCGCAUAGUCUUCGAUGACGGCAUCAGAUUUGAAGUAAAGAUUUAUCGGUAAUGGAUGGGGAUGCGUCUGAUUAGCUUGUUGGCGGGGUAACGGCCCACCAAGGCUACGAUCAGUAGGGGUUCUGAGAGUAAGGUACCCCACAAUGGAACUGAGACACGGUCCAAACUCCUACGGGAGGGAGGAGUGAGGAAUAUUGGUCGAGGGACGGAAGUCUAAACCAGCCAAGUAGGGUGCAGGAGGACGGGCCUAGGGGUUGUAAACUGCUUUUGUAUGAGGAUAAAGUUAGGAACGUGUCCCUAUUUGCAGGUACCAUACGAAUAAGGACCGGCUAAUUCCGUG
Molecule: ribosomal RNA, 492 nt
Filed under: uncultured bacterium
Lineage: Bacteria
Description: partial 16S ribosomal RNA
Rfam family: Bacterial small subunit ribosomal RNA
Source: RNAcentral